UCUUAAAGGCUAUCCAUAAUAUAUCCAGAAUAUAUUUUUAAUUAAUAAAAGGCAAAUGAAUCAGAACAUAGAAGGGAUGGGUAGCUAACUACAAAAGAUUCUACAGCAUUGACUUAUUGCUGGGAGUGGCUCCCAGCCAGGACCCCAUUCCUCAGCACCCAUGGACUGUGAUCUAGGGAGGACCAAGUGUCUGGUUCUCACCAAUGGAACAUGAGUGGAUGGGGUGAGUGUCACUUCUGGUCCAGAGGAUUAAGAAGUGGAUGUGACUCCCACAGUCUCUUUUGCCAUCUGCCCAUUGAAUUGAAGAGAGUCACCAUUGAAGAUGUGGAGCUGCCCAGUGAGUGGGUCCAGGAAUCCCUGCUGGGAGGUGAAUCACCCAAACAGGAGCGCCCACAUGGAUGGAGAUACGCACAAGAGGUGUGACAGGGCUGCAGCUGCCCCCAGGCCCGCCCCACCACCAUCUCCUUCCCUCCCAGGGAGCCCAGGCAGCCUCCAUCUCCUUCUUUGCACUGCCCUGUGCUGUCUUGCAGCCACCCUUUCAGCCCUGUGUCCUUCCUGCAGCCCCUACCCUGCUGUCCACUUCUCCGGAAGCCCUCUUCACCCUAGCCUUGGGACCUGCUCACUCCUCCUCCAGCCCUGCACUCCUGCUUGGAGCCCUGGGAUACCAGAGAGGCAGGGAGCCUUGUUUCCGCUCUGGGGGGUGGUGCGAGUCCAGGUUUCUUACCUUCUCUGCCACUGUGUGGCAGGUGCUGAGCGAGCAUCUUGCCACAGAAGCACCUGAGAAUGCUGACCACAGAAAUGGGCUGUAAUAAGUAGAGCUUAGCUCUAACACGAAUUAGGCAGGUGUGUGCUGGCUGCUCCAGAAACUCACUGGCCCAGAGAUUGUUUCAGUGAGAACUUGCAUUCUAGGUUCCCACCCAUCCCUAAAGACAGUCAUGGGUCAGUUCCCCAUUGAGCAGGCACAUGGUGGACCCUCUGCAUUGAGGGAAUUCACGUGGCCUCUGACUCCCCUACUUGGCUUCCUUCCCCUAAGAUCCUCUGUCCCUGCUUGUCCAAGAGGAAUCAUAGUUAUACAAUAAUUAGUAAUAACAAGGACACGUAUUGAGCAUUGAUCUGAUACCAGAAACUCUUCUAUUUUACACUCAAUUCUGAUAACAUCUCUAUCAAGUAGACAUUGCUAUUAUCUCCAUGUUCUCAGAUGGGGGACUGAGGCACAGGGAAGAUAAGUAGUCUGGCCACAUCACACAGCUCUGGAGCCAGGACUCACACCCAAAACAUCUGAAAAUAGAGCCAAGAGCGGGUUGUAUUGCGAGCUUUGGUGGCCCCAGCCUCUGCUCCCUCUUCUGACUUCUCGCACAGGACAUUUCUCACCGUUAAUCUUGGUGAGUGAGACUGUGGGUGAAAUGUCCUGUCACAACAGGACAUCCUGCUUGGCCAGUUGGACUUUCUGGGAAGUGUGGAUUUCCAGUAAGCCAUCUGGGGACUUCAGGCCUUUCCUGGAGAUUUACCUCCACAGCAGAAGGGAUCCUUCAUCAGCAAUUGCUUCAGGGACCCCAGCAGCCCUAGCCCCUCCCUUCCCCAGGAGCUUCUCUUGGGGUUUCUGAGCCUGACCCCAACCCACUUCUUUCCAUCACAUCCUUUUCUUCUGGAAGUGGGCCAGAAUCCAUUUCUGUUGCAUGCAACCAGAUGCAAGCUGAGCUGUGUCUUCAGAAGAGUGGAAAGAAGGGGAGAGCAGGGAGAAAGAGCCUCUCCACCCAGAAGCUGCAGGGAGGCGAGGAGGGCAGAGCCCCGCUCAGCCUGAGUCGCUGACACUAAAGAUGUUCCUGACAUACCAAGGCCCUCCGUCAAGUCUCAGUGAAGAAACGAAAUGAACCGUGCAUGCCUGAAAAGUAAAGAUACUCACACAGCUAUGACAGGUGUUUGUGGUGUGCUCCACAACCUUUCAGGGCUGGAAAUUACACAUUUCUUCUCUUUUUGAGAUCAAAUAAGUUUGGCCCAGCAGCUCUUGGCUUUCCAGGACUACCACAGGCCCCUCUGGGGUUUUCGAAGAACACUGAGGCCUGGCAAUUUGAAGAAGGGUCACUGGUCCCCACUCCUCCAGGCUGCUGUUGCUGGCGUGUCCUGCCCAUGCAGGAGUAGCCCUGGGAAGUGGGUGCCCUUGGGCACGCUACUGAUGUUCCCGCCAAGCCCUCCGGGUGUGCCUCUGUCCCCCUGGGGAGCUGAGUUUGGCUGAGAGCCCCUGAUGCCACCUGCCUCUGCCCCUACCCCAGUUCUGGCAGCAGCUUCCCCCUUCCCUUGGGGCACCUGCUCCUCCUCCCUCCCUGACUUGGGUUUGAAUCUUGAUGAAACAGCUGGCUGACUAGGGACACGUGUGCCUUACCUCCCUUCACCUCAGCUUCCUCCUCUGUAAGAUAAGGACCCUAAUGCCAUGUGGCAGGUUGUGAGAGGAUUAAAUAAGGAAAUGCACUUCAAGUGUUUAGCUUAGAGUCUGGGGCCUAAGAUGUGGUCAGUUAAUGUUAGUUAAAAUGAAACCAAGGAAACCCCAGCUGUGCAGGACAGACAUGAUUAGGAGGGAGCAGGCAUGCCUGCUACGGGCAGGUCAGAGGUGGCUUGGGGUCAGCGAGUCGACUUCCUGGAGGAGGUGGUCCUGGAAGGACAGAUGGGAUUUGAAUGAGGCACAAGGGUGGACAGCUCCAGGACCAGGGGUCAGCCUGGCAUCCCUCACCUGGAAGGAAAUUGCUGGGAAGUCUCUUGAGAGCAGUGACCAUUUCCCAUUCCCGAUAACCGCAUGUGGGGGUCCU
Molecule: long non-coding RNA, 2801 nt
Filed under: Homo sapiens (human)
Lineage: Eukaryota; Metazoa; Chordata; Mammalia; Primates; Hominidae
Description: HSALNT0353477
Source: RNAcentral